GAUAAAAUUUUUAUGUUUUUCAUAAUUUAUUAUAAAUUUAUUUUACAUAUAAAUUUUAGUACGAAAUUUUGAUUAUUUUAAUAAUAAUUAAUAAUAAUUGUAGUAAUUAAAAUUAAAAAUUUAAGAAAUUAAGAUUUAGUAAUAUAAAAAUUAAUAACUAAUUUUGUGCCAGCAG
This 175-nucleotide ribosomal RNA is filed under the name Maniola hyperantus (ringlet). Its description in RNAcentral is "partial 12S ribosomal RNA". The record is from RNAcentral. Lineage: Eukaryota; Metazoa; Arthropoda; Insecta; Lepidoptera; Nymphalidae.